AUCACACAGAGGAGUUUCACUGCCCUAAACCUCCUCUGCACAUUUUUGCCUUUUCCACAUGUGAUAUAGUUGGAAUCCUAUGGUGUUUACCCCUUUUAGGUUGUAUUCUUUCACUUGGUAAUAUACAUGGAAGUUUCCUCCAUGUCUUUUCAUGGCUUGAUAGCGGACUUUCUUUUAAUGUUGAAUAUUAUUUCCUUAUCUGGAUGCACCACCGUUUAUUCAUUCACCUACUGAAGGACGUCUUGGUUGUUUCCAAGUUUGGGUCAUUAUGAAUAAAGCCACUAUAAACAUCAGUGUGCAGGUUUUUGUGUGGACGUAAGUUUUCGAAUCACUUGGGUAAAUACCAAGGAACACAAUUGCUAGGUGAUUGCUGGGUCCUAUAAGAGUAUGUUUAGUUUUCUAAGAAAUUGCCAAAAUCUUUUCCAAAGUGGCUAUACCAUUUUGCCUUCCUACUAGCAAUGAACGAAAGUUCCUCUUGUUCCACAUCCUUGCCAGCAUUUGGUGUUGCCAUUGUGCUGGGUUGUGGCCACGCUAAUAGGGGUGGAGUGAUACCUCACUGUUGCUUUAAUUUUCAGUUCCUGAGCCAGGCAUGGCAGCUCACACCUGUAUUCCUAGCACUUUGGGAUUACAGGCAUUGACUACUUUUGAUUGAGUUAUCUGUGUUUUUCUUAUCAUUUUAAGGAACUAUUUAGAUAUUCUAAAUGUAAGAUCAUUGUUAGAUCUAUGUAUUACAAAUGUCUUCUCUCACUCUACAGAUUGGCUUUUUGCUUUCAGUGAAGUCUUUUGAUUAGCAGAGUUUCUUAAGUUUAAGGAAGUCGAAUUUCUCCCUUUCACUUUAUGGUUAGGGCUUGUUGUGGCUUGUUUGAGAAAUCUUCAUCUAGCCUCAAUCAUGAAGACAAUUUCUGUGUCUAUUAAAUGCUUUGUUGUUCCACCUUUGAGAUUUAGACCUACAAUCUCCCUGGAAUUGAUGUGAGUGUGGUGUGAGAUAGAACUUCGGAUUCACGCCAGGCACGGUGGCUCACGUCUAUAAUCCCAGCACUUUGGGAGGCCGAGGUGGGUGGAUCAUGAGGUCAACAGAUUGAGACAAUCCUGGUCAACAUGGUGAAACCCCGUCUCUACUAGAAAUGCAAAAAUUAGCUGGGCGUGGUGGCGUGCACCUGUAGUCCCAGCUACUUGGGAGGCUGAGGCAAGAGAAUUGCUUGAACCCAGGAGGCGGAGGUUGCAGUGAGCCGAGAUCACGCCAUUGCACUCCAGCCUGGGUAAUAAGAGCAAAACUCCAUCUCAAAAAAAAAGAACUUCGGAUUCACUUUUGGUUCCAUACAGAUACCCAUUUGACCCAGUAGACACAGAAGCAUAUUC
This 1359-nucleotide long non-coding RNA is filed under the name Callithrix jacchus (white-tufted-ear marmoset). RNAcentral describes it as "lncRNA (ENSCJAG00000076046.1)". Lineage: Eukaryota; Metazoa; Chordata; Mammalia; Primates; Cebidae. The record is from RNAcentral.